AUGGUGGGGAACGACUGGAUCAACAGCUACCUGGAGGCCAUCCUCGACGCGGGCGGCGCCGCGGGGGACAUCACGGCCGCCUCCGUCGCCUCCGCGGCGCCCGGGGGCGGCGCGGGCUCCGCGGCGGCGGAGAAGAGGCGGGACAAGGCGUCGCUGAUGCUGCGGGAGCGCGGCCGCUUCAACCCGGCGCGCUACUUCGUGGAGGAGGUCAUCUCCGGCUUCGACGAGACCGACCUCUACAAGACCUGGGUCCGCACGUCGGCGAUGAGGAGCCCGCAGGAGCGCAACACGCGGCUGGAGAACAUGUCCUGGCGGAUCUGGAACCUCGCCAGGAAGAAGAAGCAGAUUGAAGGUGAGGAAGCCUCCCGUUCAUCGAAGAAACGUCUUGAGCGUGAGAAGGCCCGUCGGGAUGCUGCUGCUGAUUUGUCUGAGGACCUAUCUGACGGAGAAAAAGGAGAACAUAUUAAUGAAUCAUCUAUUCACGCUGAGAGUACAAGGGGACACAUGCCAAGGAUAGGUUCAACUGAUGCUAUUGAUGUUUGGGCAAAUCAGCACAAAGAUAAAAAACUGUACAUAGUGCUAAUAAGCAUUCAUGGUCUUAUACGUGGUGAGAAUAUGGAGCUUGGACGUGAUUCAGAUACAGGCGGUCAGGUCAAAUAUGUUGUAGAGCUUGCUAGGGCGUUAGGUGAAACACCUGGAGUAUAUAGAGUGGAUUUGCUGACAAGGCAGAUUUCUGCACCUGAUGUUGAUUGGAGUUAUGGGGAACCUACAGAGAUGCUGAGUCCAAGAAAUUCAGAGAAUCUUGGGGAUGACAUGGGUGAAAGCAGUGGUGCUUAUAUUGUCAGGAUACCAUUUGGGCCAAGAGAAAAGUAUAUCCCUAAAGAGCAGCUCUGGCCCCACAUCCAGGAAUUUGUUGACGGUGCACUUGUCCAUAUCAUGCAGAUGUCCAAGGUUCUCGGAGAACAAGUUGGCAAUGGCCAACCAGUAUGGCCUGUUGUUAUCCAUGGACACUAUGCUGAUGCAGGCGAUUCUGCUGCUUUAUUAUCUGGGGCACUCAAUGUGCCAAUGGUUUUCACAGGUCAUUCUCUUGGCAGAGACAAGUUAGAGCAACUUUUAAAGCAAGGGCGUCAAACCAGGGAUGAAAUAGACGCAACAUACAAGAUAAUGCGUCGGAUUGAGGCUGAGGAACUUUGUCUUGAUGCAUCUGAAAUUGUAAUCACAAGCACUAGGCAAGAGAUAGAUAAACAAUGGGGAUUAUAUAAUGGAUUUGAUGUAAUUAUGGAGAGGAAACUUAGAGCAAGAAUAAAGCGUGGUGUUAGCUGCUACGGUCGUGAAAUGCCUCGUAUGAUUCCAAUUCCUCCCGGUAUGGAGUUCAGCCAUAUAGUGCCUCAUGAUGUUGAUCUUGAUAGUGAAGAAGCGAAUGAAGUUGGCUCAGAUUCACCAGAUCCACCUGUUUGGGCCGAUAUAAUGCGCUUCUUCUCGAACCCUCGCAAGCCCAUGAUUCUCGCUCUUGCUCGUCCAGAUCCCAAGAAGAACAUCACUACGCUGGUUAAGGCAUUUGGUGAACACCAUGAGCUAAGAAAUUUAGCAAACCUUACAUUGAUCAUGGGUAACCGUGAUGUUAUUGAUGAAAUGUCAAGCACAAAUGGAGCUGUUUUGACAUCAGUACUCAAGUUAAUUGACAAGUAUGAUCUAUAUGGGCAAGUGGCAUACCCCAAGCACCAUAAGCAAUCUGAAGUUCCAGAUAUUUAUCGUUUAGCGGCAAGAACAAAGGGGGUGUUUAUUAACUGUGCUUAUAUUGAACCAUUUGGGCUCACCUUGAUCGAGGCUGCUGCUUAUGGUCUACCUAUGGUUGCUACCCAAAAUGGUGGACCUGUCGAUAUACACCGGGUUCUUGACAAUGGCAUUCUUGUUGAUCCCCACAAUCAAAAUGAUAUAGCUGAGGCACUUUAUAGACUUGUUUCUGAUAAGCAAUUGUGGGCAAAAUGCCGUCAGAAUGGUCUGGAUAAUAUCCAUCGAUUUUCUUGGCCUGAACAUUGCAAAAACUAUUUGUCACGGGUUGGUACGCUCAAGUCUAGACAUCCACGAUGGCAAAAGAGCGAUGAUGCUACUGAAGUUUCUGAAACAGAUUCACCUGGUGACUCUUUGAGGGAUAUUCAUGAUAUAUCACUUAACUUGAAGAUUUCCUUGGACAGUGAAAAAUCAGGCAACAUGUCGAAAUAUGGAAGGAGUUCAACCAGUGAUAGGAGAAACCUUGAGGAUGCUGUACAAAAGUUUUCAGAAGCUGUUAGUGCUGGCACAAAGGAUGAGUCUGGUGAGAAAGCUGAGGCCACCACAGGCUCCAAUAAAUGGCCAUCUCUGCGAAGGAGAAAGCACAUUGUUGUUAUUGCUGUAGAUUCUGUGCAAGAUGCCGACUUGGUUCAGAUUAUCAAAAACAUUUUUCAGGCUUCAAACAAAGAAAAAUCAUCUGGUGCUCUUGGUUUUGUAUUGUCAACAUCUCGAGCAGCAUCAGAGAUACAUCCUUUGUUAACAUCUGGGGGCAUAGAAAUUACUGAUUUUGAUGCCUUCAUAUGUAGCAGUGGCAGUGAUCUUUGCUAUCCAUCUUCAAAUUCAGAAGACAUGCUUAGCCCUGCCGAGCUUCCAUUUAUGAUCGAUCUUGAUUAUCACUCUCAGAUUCAAUAUCGUUGGGGAGGAGAAGGUUUAAGGAAGACACUAAUUCGUUGGGCAGCAGAAAAGAACAGCGAGAGUGGACAAGAAGCAGUUGUCGAAGAUGACGAAUGUUCAUCCACUUACUGCAUUUCAUUUAAAGUGAAGAAUACUGAGGCUGUCCCUCCUGUGAAGGAUCUUAGGAAGACAAUGAGAAUUCAAGCAUUGCGCUGUCAUGUAUUGUACAGCCAUGAUGGCAGCAAGUUGAACUUCAUACCUGUUCUAGCAUCACGAUCCCAAGCACUAAGGUACUUGUAUAUAAGGUGGGGUGUAGAGCUGUCGAACAUGACGGUGGUUGUCGGUGAAAGCGGCGAUACAGAUUAUGAAGGGCUGCUCGGAGGCGUGCAGAAGACCAUCGUACUCAAAGGCUCGUUUAAUUCUGCGCCAAACCAGCUUCAUGCCGCCAGAAGCUAUUCGCUAGAGGAUGUCGUAUCGUUCGACAAGCCAGGAAUUGCUUCCGUCGACGGUUAUGCCCCAGAUAACCUGAAAUCAGCUCUACAACAAUUUGGUGCCCUGGAGGGCUAG
This 3231-nucleotide ribosomal RNA is filed under the name Triticum aestivum (bread wheat). RNAcentral's name for it is "partial small subunit ribosomal RNA". Lineage: Eukaryota; Viridiplantae; Streptophyta; Magnoliopsida; Poales; Poaceae. The record is from RNAcentral.